This 330-nucleotide ribosomal RNA is filed under the name uncultured bacterium. RNAcentral describes it as "bacterial SSU rRNA". It matches the Rfam family "Bacterial small subunit ribosomal RNA", at positions 568 to 898 of the family's 1533-position model. The record is from RNAcentral.
UCCGUAGGCGGUGCGGCAAGUCGGAAGUGAAAUCUCUGGGCUUAACCCAGAGGCUGCUUCCGAAACUGCCAUGCUAGAGUGCGAGAGAGGCGAGUGGAAUUGCGGGUGUAGCGGUGAAAUGCGUAGAUAUCCGCAGGAACAUCCGAGGCGAAGGCGGCUCGCUGGAUCGCAACUGACGCUGAGGGACGAAAGCUAGGGGAGCAAACAGGAUUAGAUACCCUGGUAGUCCUAGCCCUAAACCAUCAGGACUUGGGGUUUGCCCUGUACGGGGCAAGUCCCGUAGCUAACGCGUUAAGUCCUGCGCCUGGGGAGUACGGUCGCAAGGCUGAA